AUUAAGUUGGGCACUCUAAUGAGACUGCCGGUGAUAAACCGGAGGAAGGUGGGGAUGACGUCAAGUCAUCAUGCCCCUUAUGACCUGGGCUACACACGUGCUACAAUGGACAGUACAACGAGAAGCGAGCCUGCGAAGGCAAGCGAAUCUCUGAAAGCUGUUCUCAGUUCGGACUGCAGUCUGCAACUCGACUGCACGAAGCUGGAAUCGCUAGUAAUCGCGGAUCAGAACGCCGCGGUGAAUACGUUCCCGGGCCUUGU
This 260-nucleotide ribosomal RNA is filed under the name uncultured bacterium. RNAcentral describes it as "partial 16S ribosomal RNA". It matches the Rfam family "Bacterial small subunit ribosomal RNA", at positions 1125 to 1384 of the family's 1533-position model. The record is from RNAcentral.